UGGGGAAUUUUUCGCAAUGGGGGCAACCCUGACGAAGCAAUGCCGUGUGGAUGAUGAAGUCUCUUGGGACGUAAAAUCCUUUCGACAGGGACGAAACCGCAAGGUUGACGGUACCCGUAGAAGAAGCCCCGGCUAACUCCGUGCCAGCAGCCGCGGUAAUACGGGGGGGGCAAGCGUUGUUCGGAAUUACUGGGCGUAAAGGGUGCGUAGGCGGCUCUCUAAGUCGGAUGUGAAAACUCUGGGCUCAACCCAGAGCCUGCAUCCGAAACUGGAGGGCUAGGGUUCUGGAGGGGAAAGCGGAAUUCCUGGUGUAGCGGUGAAAUGCGUAGAUAUCAGGAGGAACACCGGAGGCGAAGGCGGCUUUCUGGACAGAUACCGACGCUGAGGCACGAAAGCUAGGGGAGCAAACAGGAUUAGAUACCCUGGUAGUCCUAGCCCUAAACUAUGGAUACUUGCUGUGGGGGGGAUUGAAGCCCCUUGUGGCGAAGCUAACGCAUUAAGUAUCCCGCCUGGGGAGUACGGUCGCAAGGCUGA
RNAcentral lists this ribosomal RNA (534 nucleotides) under uncultured Acidobacteriota bacterium. RNAcentral's name for it is "bacterial SSU rRNA". It matches the Rfam family "Bacterial small subunit ribosomal RNA", at positions 355 to 897 of the family's 1533-position model. The record is from RNAcentral. Lineage: Bacteria; Pseudomonadati; Acidobacteriota.